This 2223-nucleotide ribosomal RNA is filed under the name Enterococcus raffinosus. RNAcentral describes it as "partial 23S ribosomal RNA". It matches the Rfam family "Bacterial large subunit ribosomal RNA", at positions 1 to 2236 of the family's 2925-position model. The record is from RNAcentral. Lineage: Bacteria; Bacillati; Bacillota; Bacilli; Lactobacillales; Enterococcaceae.
GGUUAAGUGAAUAAGGGCGCACGGUGGAUGCCUUGGCACUAGGAGCCGAUGAAGGACGGGACUAACACCGAUAUGCUUCGGGGAGCUGUAAGUAAGCUUUGAUCCGGAGAUUUCCGAAUGGGGGAACCCAGCAUCUUUUAUAGGAUGUUACUUUUCAGUGAAUACAUAGCUGAUUAGAGGUAGACGCAGAGAACUGAAACAUCUAAGUACCUGCAGGAAGAGAAAGAAAAAUCGAUUCCCUGAGUAGCGGCGAGCGAAACGGGAAAAGCCCAAACCAAGAGGCUUGCCUCUUGGGGUUGUAGGACUCCGAUAUGGUAGUCCAGUGAGAUAGUCGAAGGACCUGGAAAGGUCUGCUAGAAAGGGUAAAAGCCCCGUAGACAAAAUUUGACUGGCACCUAGGAGGAUCCUGAGUACGGCGGAACACGAGGAAUUCCGUCGGAAUCCGGGAGGACCAUCUCCCAAGGCUAAAUACUCCCUAGUGACCGAUAGUGAACCAGUACCGUGAGGGAAAGGUGAAAAGCACCCCGGAAGGGGAGUGAAAUAGAUCCUGAAACCGUGUGCCUACAACAAGUUAGAGCCCGUUAAUGGGUGAUAGCGUGCCUUUUGUAGAAUGAACCGGCGAGUUACGAUUACUUGCGAGGUUAAGUUGAAAAGACGGAGCCGCAGCGAAAGCGAGUCUGAAUAGGGCGAAUGAGUAAGUGGUCGUAGACCCGAAACCAUGUGAUCUACCCAUGUCCAGGUUGAAGGUGCGGUAAAACGCACUGGAGGACCGAACCCACGUACGUUGAAAAGUGCGGGGAUGAGGUGUGGGUAGCGGAGAAAUUCCAAACGAACUUGGAGAUAGCUGGUUCUCUCCGAAAUAGCUUUAGGGCUAGCCUCAGAGUAAGAAUGAUGGAGGUAGAGCACUGUUUGGACUAGGGGCCCAUCUCGGGUUACCGAAUUCAGAUAAACUCCGAAUGCCAUCCAUUCAUCUCUGGGAGUCAGACUGUGAGUGAUAAGAUCCAUAGUCGAAAGGGAAACAGCCCAGACCACCAGCUAAGGUCCCCAAAUAACUAUUAAGUGGAAAAGGAUGUGGGGUUGCACAGACAACUAGGAUGUUGGCUUAGAAGCAGCCACCAUUUAAAGAGUGCGUAAUAGCUCACUAGUCGAGUGACCCUGCGCCGAAAAUGUACCGGGGCUAAAUAGUUUACCGAAGCUGUGGAACACACCAAUAGGUGUGUUGGUAGGAGAGCGUUCUAAGGGCGUUGAAGGUAGAUCGUGAGGACUGCUGGAGCGCUUAGAAGUGAGAAUGCCGGUAUGAGUAGCGAAAGACAGGUGAGAAUCCUGUCCACCGAAUGACUAAGGUUUCCUGGGGAAGGCUCGUCCGCCCAGGGUUAGUCGGGACCUAAGCCGAGGCCGAUAGGCGUAGGCGAUGGAUAACAGGUUGAUAUUCCUGUACCCGUUGUUUUUGUUUGAGCAAUGGAGGGACGCAGGAGGCUAAGGAAUCAGACGAUUGGAAAUGUCUGUCCAAGCAAUAAGUCUUGAUGUGAGUCAAAUGCUUACGUCUUUAAGGACAAGUUGUGAUGGGGAGGGAAAUAAUAGUACCGAAGUUCCUGAUGUCACACUGCCGAGAAAAGCUUCUAGUGAGAAAACAAUGGCCCGUACCGCAAACCGACACAGGUAGUCGAGGAGAGAAUCCUAAGGUGAGCGAGAGAACUCUCGUUAAGGAACUCGGCAAAAUGACCCCGUAACUUCGGGAGAAGGGGUGCUGAUCUAACGAUCAGCCGCAGUGAAUAGGCCCAAGCGACUGUUUAUCAAAAACACAGGUCUCUGCAAAAUCGAAAGAUGACGUAUAGGGGCUGACGCCUGCCCGGUGCUGGAAGGUUAAGAGGAGUGCUUAGCGUAAGCGAAGGUACGAAUUGAAGCCCCAGUAAACGGCGGCCGUAACUAUAACGGUCCUAAGGUAGCGAAAUUCCUUGUCGGGUAAGUUCCGACCCGCACGAAAGGCGUAACGAUUUGGGCACUGUCUCAACGAGAGACUCGGUGAAAUUUUAGUACCUGUGAAGAUGCAGGUUACCCGCGACAGGACGGAAAGACCCCAUGGAGCUUUACUGCAGUUUGAUAUUGAGUGUUUGUACCACAUGUACAGGAUAGGUAGGAGCCGUAGAAGUCGGGACGCUAGUUUCGACAGAGGCGCUGGUGGGAUACUACCCUUGUGUUAUGACCACUCUAACCCGCACCACU